UGUGUUGAAAAUCGUUUGCAC
This is a non-coding RNA of Drosophila melanogaster (fruit fly), 21 nucleotides long. The record is from Ensembl. Lineage: Eukaryota; Metazoa; Arthropoda; Insecta; Diptera; Drosophilidae.